Molecule: ribosomal RNA, 1349 nt
Filed under: metagenome
Description: bacterial LSU rRNA
Rfam family: Bacterial large subunit ribosomal RNA
Source: RNAcentral
UGAGUACGAGCUGCUACGGCAGCGAAGUGGGUGAUGUCAUGCUUCCAAGAAAAGCCCUAUACCCGUUAAGGCAUGAUGGCCUGUACCCGAAACCGACACAGGUGGGGUGGUAGAGAAUACCGAGGGGCGCGAGGUAACUCUCUCUAAGGAACUCGGCAAAAUGGCCCCGUAACUUCGGGAGAAGGGGUGCCACCGCAAGGUGGUCGCAGUGAAGAGGCCCAGGCGACUGUUUACCAAAAACACAGGUCUCCGCUAAGUCGCAAGACGAUGUAUGGGGGCUGACGCCUGCCCAGUGCCGGAAGGUUAAGGAAGCUGGUCAGCGUAAGCGAAGCUAGCGACUGAAGCCCCGGUGAACGGCGGCCGUAACAAUAACGGUCCUAAGGUAGCGAAAUUCCUUGUCGGGUAAGUUCCGACCCGCACAAAAGGCGUAACGAUCUGGGCGCUGUCUCGGAGAGAGGCUCGGCGAAAUAGAAUUGUCUGUGAAGAUGCGGACUACGUGCACCCGGACAGAAAGACCCUAUGAAGCUUUACUGUAGCUUGGUAUUGUGCUCGGGCUCGGAAUGCGCAGGAUAGGUGGGAGGCUAUGAACCAUUGCUUGUGGGUGAUGGUGAGCCACUGGUGAGAUACCACUCUUUCCGAGCUAGAGUUCUAACAGCUACCCGUUAUCCGGGGGCUGGACAGUAUCAGGUGGGCAGUUUGACUGGGGCGGUCGCCUCCUAAAAGGUAACGGAGGCGCGCAAAGGUUUGCUCAGGCUGGUUGGAAAUCAGCCGACGAGUGUAAAAGCAGAAGCAAGCUUGACUGUGAGACCUACAAGUCGAACAGGGAGGAAACUCGGCUUUAGUGAUCCGACGGUUCUGCGUGGAAGGGCCGUCGCUCAACGGAUAAAAGUUACUCUAAGGAUAACAGGCUGAUCUCCCCCAAGAGUUCACAUCGACGGGGAGGUUUGGCACCUCGAUGUCGGCUCAUCGCAACCUGGGGCUGAAGUCGGUCCCAAGGGUUGGGCUGUUCGCCCAUUAAAGCGGUACGCGAGCUGGGUUCAGAACGUCGUGAGACAGUUCGGUCCAUAUCCGGUGCAUGCGCAGGAAUAUUGAGAGGAUUUCUCCCUAGUACGAGAGGACCGGGAGGAACGCACCUCUGGUGUACCAGUUAUCGUGCCAACGGUAAACGCUGGGUAGCCAUGUGCGGAGAGGAUAACCGCUGAAAGCAUCUAAGUGGGAAGCCCACCUCAAGAUGAGUAUUCCCAUGGGGUAACCCAGUAAGGUCACGGGAAGAACACCCGUUGAUAGGCUCUACGUGGAAGCGCAGUAAUGUGUGAAGCGGAGGAGUACUAAUAGACCGAGGGCUUGAC